CGGUUUCGGUCCCCCGACGAGGGGGCCAAAAGGGAAUCAGGUGCAAAUCCUGAGCAGUCCCGCUGCUGUGAGUUUCAGCCACAUAGACCAUCCAUAGGCCACUGCCCGCCGACAUAGGCAGGUGGGAAGGCGGAGGGUCGGAAACAAGCCAGAAGACCUGCCGAAGCCAC
RNAcentral lists this non-coding RNA (170 nucleotides) under bovine gut metagenome. The record is from RNAcentral.